Molecule: ribosomal RNA, 278 nt
Filed under: uncultured bacterium
Lineage: Bacteria
Description: partial 16S ribosomal RNA
Rfam family: Bacterial small subunit ribosomal RNA
Source: RNAcentral
UUGCUAAGUUUGAUGGCGACCGGCGCAUGGGUGAGUAACACGUAUCCAACCUACCCUUUACUCGGGGAUAGCCUUUCGAAAGAAAGAUUAAUACCCGAUAGCAUAAUGAUUCCGCAUGGUUUCAUUAUUAAAGGAUUCCGGUAAAGGAUGGGGAUGCGUUCCAUUAGGUUGUUGGUGGGGUAACGGCCCACCAAGCCUUCGAUGGAUAGGGGUUCUGAGAGGAAGGUCCCCCACAUUGGAACUGAGACACGGUCCAAACUCCUACGGGAGGCAGCAUG